AAUCAACGCUGGCGGCGUGCCUCAGACAUGCAAGUCGAACGCGAAAGUUCCCUUCGGGGAGCAAGUAGAGUGGCGCACGGGUGAGUAACACGUAGGUAAUUUGCCUUCGGGUGGGGAAUAACAGUCGGAAACGACUGCUAAUACCGCAUAAUGCAGCGGCUCGACAUCGAGACAGUUGUUAAAGCGGGGGAUCCUUCGGGACCUCGCGCCUGAAGAGAAGCCUGCGGCAGAUUAGCUAGUUGGUGAGGUAAUGGCCCACCAAGGCUACGAUCUGUAACCGGCCUGAGAGGGCGGUCGGUCACACUGACACUGACAUACGGGUCAGACUCCUACGGGAGGCAGCAGUCGGGAAUUUUGGGCAAUGGGCGCAAGCCUGACCCAGCAACGCCGCGUGAAGGAUGAAAUUUUUCGGAAUGU
This 417-nucleotide ribosomal RNA is filed under the name uncultured bacterium. RNAcentral's name for it is "bacterial SSU rRNA". It matches the Rfam family "Bacterial small subunit ribosomal RNA", at positions 32 to 426 of the family's 1533-position model. The record is from RNAcentral.